UAAUUGGAAGCUUGAAAGGUGACGAACCUUGCUAUAUCUUUUAUGAUUUUCACUUCAAAAAAGGUGAUAGGCCCCAAGAGAAAAUAGCAUUAAUCUUCUGGUGUUUGGAUUCAGAAGCCCCACGUGGACUAAAGAUGACUUACGCAUCAACUAACAAGGCUGUCUCAGAUGCGGGCAAUGUCAAUAACUUCAAAUUUGAUUUUCGUGACAGAGAUUCAUACAACUAUGACUCUAUCAUAUUAGAACUUCAGCAAAAAAUACACUAAUCAUACUUGUUUGGUUGAUUGUUCCUUUAAGGAAAUAAUGCAUCAUUGUAUUCCAAGUUACAACAAAAUGUAAUCUUCAAUACCUUAGUACCUACAUAGAGCUUAAAAAAUUGUGCCUGUUUCCAUAUCAGAAAUGUAUUUCUAACAAAUGUAAAUCAAAGCUUUGAUUAUUAUUGUAAUAUGCAGAGACAGUACUAAACAGUCCUGGAAGUGUGAACGUUUGAUUUUUUUUUCUGUCAUAAUGUUGAACAUUCAUAACAAUAUUGAGAAGAAGAUGUACUUUUGCAGUCAUUUAAUUCCUUCCGUGAAAAUGAAAUGUACAGCUAAUUAAAAGUGAUCAAGAUUGUUGACUCUAAGACAUUUUAAAUCCAGAAUCAAACUGUUGUUUGUUGCCCUCUAUCAACAGGGCAGCCAACAUGCUGCCACGCCGGACCUAAGCCUUACUAAUACAUUGUGCUGAAACAAUUCAUCGAAUUAAAUCGAAAGUUAAGGGACCUUUUUCUCUCGCAACGUUCAGAAAUUGUAUCUAGAAAAAACUUAUUUCUUUUGGAAAUACAUUAUUCCUGACAACACAUUGGAAGAUUAUGUCACAAAGCAUUGCUACUUGAUUUCAUAAUUAGAAAUUGACCAAUGAAAGCAUGUACAGGGUGUUACCCACUAGUGGGUUACCAGAAAUGUUUACCAACUACACUUUGAUCCAUUGAAAAAAGAGUGAGGAACCCUAAAGUUGUUGCGAGAGAAAGAAGUUAGCCCAAGAAGUUAUAUGUAUCGGAUGGGGGCAGCAAAUGUUAUACCUAAUACUGGAGUAUUAGGUCUCACAAACAAAUCAAGGGACCAACAAAUGUAAAUUUUCUUCUGGAGUGUAUUUGUAUAUCAUAACAUAUUAAGCUUUAUUAAAAAAAAUUGCAACCUGC
Long non-coding RNA from Mizuhopecten yessoensis (Yesso scallop), 1180 nucleotides. RefSeq lists it as uncharacterized. The record is from RefSeq and is a predicted model, not a curated record. Lineage: Eukaryota; Metazoa; Mollusca; Bivalvia; Pectinida; Pectinidae. The transcript has 2 exons.